AGGGUUUGAUUCUGGCUCAGGAUGAACGCUGGCGGCGUGCUUAACACAUGCAAGUCGAACGAAGCACUUUACCUGAUUUCCUUCGGGGAUGAUUGUUCUGUGACUGAGUGGCGGACGGGUGAGUAACGCGUGGAUAACCUGCCUCACACAGGGGGAUAACAGUUGGAAACGACUGCUAAUACCGCAUAAGCGCACAGCACCGCAUGGUGCAGUGUGAAAAACUCCGGUGGUGUGAGAUGGAUCCGCGUCUGAUUAGCUUGUUGGCGGGGUAACGGCCCACCAAGGCGACGAUCAGUAGCCGGCCUGAGAGGGCGACCGGCCACAUUGGGACUGAGACACGGCCCAG
Molecule: ribosomal RNA, 346 nt
Filed under: uncultured bacterium
Lineage: Bacteria
Description: bacterial SSU rRNA
Rfam family: Bacterial small subunit ribosomal RNA
Source: RNAcentral